This 404-nucleotide long non-coding RNA is filed under the name Chrysemys picta bellii (western painted turtle). RNAcentral's name for it is "lncRNA (ENSCPBG00000002317.1)". The stretch from base 238 to 404 matches the Rfam family "Rhabdomyosarcoma 2 associated transcript conserved region 6", at positions 1 to 169 of the family's 203-position model. Lineage: Eukaryota; Metazoa; Chordata; Testudines; Emydidae. The record is from RNAcentral.
CACUCAUCCUGUUACAUCCAUGAAGCUGAUCCAUUUCCCUAUAAGGACGAAUCUUUGGCUGACCUCGUUGAGAUGAAUGAAGAACAUGGCAGAUGAAAUGAGAAGGAGGGGAUUAUCCAUCUGAAAACUGAGGACAUCCAGUUAAAGCUCAUCUUCUUUUAAUCUUCAUGGUUUAUCAAUGCAAGAAAAAGGCAGUGGCUGACAGAGGCAAAGGAAGUUCUUCUUACUGCUCUCAGUGGAUGAUUGAUCAUACCCGCCAGCUGGCUAAUAUCAUAAUUAACAAAGUUGCUACCACGUCUGAGAAGUAUAAUCGAAAAAUUUACCAGCAGCGUGAUGCCAUUGUCACAAAGAUCAUAAGCACUGCAGAGUCAACUUUUGCACUCGGGAGCUGCAGAACUAUGUAG